GGGGAAUUUUGGACAAUGGGCGCAAGCCUGAUCCAGCAAUGCCGCGUGCAGGAUGAAGGCCUUCGGGUUGUAAACUGCUUUUGUAUGGAACGAAAAGCCUCUCUCUAAUACAGGGGGGUGAUGACGGUACCGUAAGAAUAAGCACCGGCUAACUACGUGCCAGCAGCCGCGGUAAUACGUAGGGUGCAAGCGUUGUCCGGAAUUAUUGGGCGUAAAGCGCGCGCAGGUGGUUUCUUAAGUCUGAUGUGAAAGCCCACGGCUUAACCGUGGAGGGUAAUUGGAAACUGGGAGACUUGAGUGCAGAAGAGGAAAGUGGAAUUCCAAGUGUAGCGGUGAAAUGCGUAGAGAUUUGGAGGAACACCAGUGGCGAAGGCGACUUUCUGGUCUGCAACUGACGCUCAUGCACGAAAGCGUGGGGAGCAAACA
This 426-nucleotide ribosomal RNA is filed under the name uncultured bacterium. RNAcentral describes it as "bacterial SSU rRNA". It matches the Rfam family "Bacterial small subunit ribosomal RNA", at positions 356 to 774 of the family's 1533-position model. The record is from RNAcentral.